GACGAACGCUGGCGGCGUGCUUAACACAUGCAAGUCGAACGGAAAGGCCCUGCUUUUGUGGGGUGCUCGAGUGGCGCACGGGUGAAUCACACGAAAGACUCCUGCCCUUGCCUUUGGGAUAACUUCAGGAAACUGGCGAUAAUACCGGAUAGGAGUUCCUGCUGCAUGGUGGGGGUUGGAAAGUUUCGGCGGUUGGGGAUGGACUCGCGGCUGAUUAGCUUGUUGGUGGGGUAGUGGCUUACCAAGGCUUUGACGGGUAGCCGGCCUGAGAGGGUGAUCGGCCACAUGGGGACGGAGAUACGGCCCAGACUCCUACGGGAGGCAGCAGUGGGGAAUAUUGCACAAUGGGCGGAAGCCUGAUGCAGCAACUCCGCGUGCGGGAAGACAGCCUUCGGGUUGUAAACCUCUUUCGCCUGUGGCGAAGCGUGAGUGACGGAAAUGGGUAAAGAAGCACCGGCUAAUUACGU
Molecule: ribosomal RNA, 467 nt
Filed under: uncultured bacterium
Lineage: Bacteria
Description: partial 16S ribosomal RNA
Rfam family: Bacterial small subunit ribosomal RNA
Source: RNAcentral